RNAcentral lists this transfer RNA (70 nucleotides) under Alcithoe larochei. RNAcentral describes it as "tRNA-Glu". The record is from RNAcentral. Lineage: Eukaryota; Metazoa; Mollusca; Gastropoda; Neogastropoda; Volutidae.
GUUUCUAUGGUGUUUAUAUUAGCACAUUAGAUUUUCAUUCUAAAGGAAUAAAAUAGAUUUAUUAGAAAUA